Molecule: ribosomal RNA, 429 nt
Filed under: Gemmatimonadota bacterium
Lineage: Bacteria; Pseudomonadati; Gemmatimonadota
Description: Gemmatimonadetes bacterium partial 16S ribosomal RNA
Rfam family: Bacterial small subunit ribosomal RNA
Source: RNAcentral
UAGGGAAUCUUCGGCAAUGGACGAAAGUCUGACCGAGCAACGCCGCGUGAGUGAAGAAGGUUUUCGGAUCGUAAAACUCUGUUGUUAGAGAAGAACAAGGACGUUAGUAACUGAACGUCCCCUGACGGUAUCUAACCAGAAAGCCACGGCUAACUACGUGCCAGCAGCCGCGGUAAUACGUAGGUGGCAAGCGUUGUCCGGAUUUAUUGGGCGUAAAGCGAGCGCAGACGGUUUCUUAAGUCUGAUGUGAAAGCCCCCGGCUCAACCGGGGAGGGUCAUUGGAAACUGGGAGACUUGAGUGCAGAAGAGGAGAGUGGAAUUCCAUGUGUAGCGGUGAAAUGCGUUGAUCUAUGGAGGAACACCAGUGGCGAAGGCGGCUCUCUAGUCUGUAACUGACGCUGAGGCUCGAAAGCGUGGGGAGCAAACAGG